Choloepus didactylus (southern two-toed sloth) is the source of this 107-nucleotide small nuclear RNA. NCBI's taxonomy places the organism in Eukaryota, Metazoa, Chordata, Mammalia, Pilosa, Megalonychidae. The record is from RefSeq and is a predicted model, not a curated record.
GUGCUUAUUUUGGCAGCACAUAUACUAAAAUUGGAAUGAUACAGAAAAUAUUAGCAUGGCUUCUGUGCAAGGAUGACAUGCAAAUUCGUCGAAUGUUCCAUAUUUAU